RNAcentral lists this ribosomal RNA (305 nucleotides) under uncultured bacterium. RNAcentral describes it as "bacterial SSU rRNA". It matches the Rfam family "Bacterial small subunit ribosomal RNA", at positions 334 to 655 of the family's 1533-position model. The record is from RNAcentral.
UACCUACGGAGGGCAGCAGUGGGGAAUAUUGGGCAAUGGAGGCAACUCUUACCCAGCAAUGCCGCGUGAAUGAAGAAGGUCUUCGGGUUGUAAAGUUCUUUAAUUGGGGACGAAAAAAAUGACGAUACCCAAGGAAUAAGCCCCGGCUAACUACGUGCCAGCAGCCGCGGUAAUACGUAGGUGGCGAGCGUUGUCCGGAUUUACUGGGCGUAAAGGGAGCGUAGGCGGACUUUUAAGUGAGAUGUGAAAUACUCGGGCUCAACUUGAGUGCUGCAUUUCAAACUGGAAGUCUAGAGUGCAGGAGA